CUCAAAUGUCCAACACACAGCUGACCCUGAGUUCCCUAAUCCUGCCUUUGACCUGGCCCUGCUCAGCUCUUUGGAAUGUGGUGGGACUGCACCCUUCAUAGCUGGAAAAUGUUUUUCCUUAAAAGAAACAUCACCAGAAAAAUCUGGCUCUAAACCAAAGAACAGCUGUAAGUAACCUGAGAUGUGCUCAUUUUUCUCCAUUGUGCCCUCAGAGAACUUAAAAGUAAGGGAAUGGCAAUUUGCAGGAAUUUGGGAUUUGUUGCCAGUUGUGAUCUGAGUUUUCUGUGAUUGCUUAACCUUCCAACAGUGCUACAGACUGUAGAAAAAAUAAUGAUAGAAAUUAAGGUGGACCUUCAGGAUAUCUUUAUUAAGCAUACUUGUGAGAAUGGUUGCAGCAAAAUUGUUUGCAGCUGGCCACUGAUGUAUGGGUACUUCAGGAGCAAAGCCCAGAAGAUUUGAAAUACCCAUUCAGUAUGAGAGGGCUGGCAAUGGCAGCCAGGAGGUUCUUGUUUGGGAGUACAUGGCUUCAGUGUGUAAGGUGAUAAUGUCCUCCGUGAAAUUGGCCAGGUCUCUCAGCACUCUUGGAUGCAAGGACUUCUCUGGGUUCGGUUCUCACACAUAACCCACCACUGACUGUUCCUCUCCUUCAGUAUGCACAAAGGACUGGGAGAUCUUGUUGGUGAGGAUGCAAGAAAGACAUCGGAUAUCUCAGCCUUGGCUAGAGCAACAACAGACACAAACAUCUGCCCUGUUGAACAAUUAAGACCAUUUUCUCUUGUCAGCUUUUUUCUAUUAAUACAGCAUUAGAAGCUCUUUUUGUUGAUUAUGAUAGCCCUUGCAAGUGUCAACUUUAUGUGAGCUGUGGCUUUCCUUACAUUAUCCCUGAGCAUCUGGACAAUACUCCUUUGUAGCUUGUUCCAUUGUACUGCCUUUUUACACUGAAACUCAGUCACGAGCUUCCUGUUUAGUUAAACUGAUCUGGUAAUCUGUUCCUUUUCCUGAUUAUUGGCCUGGACCAUUUUAGAGCUAAAAUGAGAUUAUUCCAUAAGGCUUGUCAGCUUUUACAAGUUCCUUUUCCUUUCAGAGCUGGUUUUCACUGGACUACUCUAGUUCCUUGAAUAAGCUGAAUCCUUCUCUCAUAGGAAACCCAGGGUCUGUAGUCUGCUACUUGUCUUCCCUUCACUUGGGAUCCUGAACUCUUCUGUUUCAUGAUCAGUGCAGCCAAAGCUGCUAUUGAUUAACAUCUCCCCAGCCAGAUCCUCCUCAGUGACGAGUGGAUUUGCCUGUGUAUCACCUACAGUUGCCUAACCCAGUACUUACAUCAAGGAGUUAUCCCUACCAUGUCCCCAGGAAACUACUGAAUUGCCUGGAUUUAACUCUGUUGCCAUUACGGUAUAUUGCAGGAAAAAAUCCCUCUUAAAGGCAACAGUCUAUGAUCUAGAGACCUUCUUUAGUUGUUUACAGACUUCAUGCUUUCUUAACCUAAUUGGUAGUCUGCAACACAUCUCCUUGCACUGACAUCUUCUUUGAUCUGCAUUCAGAAGGAUGGGGAGAGUCUUUGAAAAACUAAUUAUCAGUAGAUUAAUUAAUUGUCAUAUGUAUUGUCUGAGAGUCUGUUUUUA
RNAcentral lists this long non-coding RNA (1622 nucleotides) under Anas platyrhynchos platyrhynchos (common mallard). RNAcentral describes it as "lncRNA (ENSAPLG00000024976.1)". The record is from RNAcentral. Lineage: Eukaryota; Metazoa; Chordata; Aves; Anseriformes; Anatidae.